This 400-nucleotide ribosomal RNA is filed under the name uncultured bacterium. RNAcentral's name for it is "bacterial SSU rRNA". It matches the Rfam family "Bacterial small subunit ribosomal RNA", at positions 355 to 746 of the family's 1533-position model. The record is from RNAcentral.
UGGGGAAUAUUGGACAAUGGGGGGAACCCUGAUCCAGCAACGCCGCGUGAAUGAAGAAGGCCUUAGGGUUGUAAAGUUCUUUUGUCCGAGAGCAGAGGCUAUCAAGUAAUAUGUGUAUAGCCGAGAGAGUAUCGGAAGAAUAAGCACCGGCUAACUACGUGCCAGCAGCCGCGGUAAUACGUAGGGUGCAAGCGUUAAUCGGAAUUACUGGGCGUAAAGAGUGCGUAGGCGGAUAUACAAGUUAGAUGUGAAAUACCUGAGCUCAACUUAGGAACCGCAUAUAAGACUGUAUUUCUAGAGUUAGUAAGAGGAUGAGAGAAUUCCGAGUGUAGCAGUGAAAUGCGUAGAUAUUCGGAGGAAAACCAGUGGCGAAGGCGCUCAUCUGGGAUAUAACUGACGC